AUUGAACGCUGGCGGAAUGCUUUACACAUGCAAGUCGAGCGGCAGCGCGGCCUUCGGGCUGGCGGCGAGCGGCGAACGGGUGAGUAAUGCAUCGGAACAUGCCCAGUCGUGGGGGAUAACACUUCGAAAGAAGUGCUAAUACCGCAUACGUCCUGAGGGGGAAAGCGGGGGAUCGCAAGACCUCGCGCGAUUGGAGUGGCCGAUGUCAGAUUAGCUAGUUGGUGGGGUAAAGGCCUACCAAGGCGACGAUCUGUAGCUGGUCUGAGAGGAUGAUCAGCCACACUGGGACUGAGACACGGCCCAGACUCCUACGGGAGGCAGCAGUGGGGAAUUUUGGACAAUGGGGGCAACCCUGAUCCAGCCAUUCCGCGUGAGUGAAGAAGGCCUUCGGGUUGUAAAGCUCUUUCGGCAGGAACGAAACGGUGGGCUCUAACAUAGUCCGCUAAUGACGGUACCUGAAGAAGAAGCACCGGCUAACUACGUGC
Molecule: ribosomal RNA, 485 nt
Filed under: uncultured bacterium
Lineage: Bacteria
Description: bacterial SSU rRNA
Rfam family: Bacterial small subunit ribosomal RNA
Source: RNAcentral